AACGUAGGUGGCAAGCGUUAUCCGGAUUCACUGGGCGUAAAGCGCGUGCAGGUGGCUCUGUAAGUUGGAUGUUAAAUCUCUCGGCCUAACCGGGAGUGGUCAUUCAAUACUGCGGGGCUUGAGGGCAGAAGAGGGGGGUGGAAUUGCCGGUGUAGUGGUGAAAUGCGUAGAUAUCGGCAGGAACACCUGUGGCGAAAGCGGCCCCCUGGUCUGCUCCUGACACUCAGACGCGAAAGCUAGGGUAG
This 245-nucleotide ribosomal RNA is filed under the name uncultured bacterium. RNAcentral's name for it is "partial 16S ribosomal RNA". It matches the Rfam family "Bacterial small subunit ribosomal RNA", at positions 524 to 768 of the family's 1533-position model. The record is from RNAcentral.